AUUUGCAUAGUUUAAUCAAAACAUUACACUUUCAUUGUAAAAUUAGAAAAUCCUUUCUUUCAAAUA
This 66-nucleotide transfer RNA is filed under the name Otiorhynchus rugosostriatus. RNAcentral describes it as "tRNA-Glu". Lineage: Eukaryota; Metazoa; Arthropoda; Insecta; Coleoptera; Curculionidae. The record is from RNAcentral.